ACGAACGCUGGCGGCGUGCUUAACACAUGCAAGUCGAGCGGUAAGGCCCUUCGGGUACGACGAGCGGCGAACGGGUGAGUAACACGUGGGUGACCUGCCUUUAGCUCUGGGAUAAGCCUGGGAAACUGGGUCGUAAUACCGGAUAUGACCUCAUGACGCAUGUUGUGGGGUGGAAAGCCUUGUGCGGCUAGAGAUGGGCCCGCGGCCUAUCAGCUUGUUGGUGGGGUGAUGGCCUACCAAGGCGACGACGGGUAGCCGGCCUGAGAGGGCGACCGGCCACACCUGGGACUGAGACACGGCCCAGACUCCUACGGGAGGCAGCAGUGGGGAAUCUUGCGCAAUGGGC
Molecule: ribosomal RNA, 346 nt
Filed under: uncultured bacterium
Lineage: Bacteria
Description: bacterial SSU rRNA
Rfam family: Bacterial small subunit ribosomal RNA
Source: RNAcentral